AUUGAACGCUGGCGGCAGGCUUAACACAUGCAAGUCGAGCGGGGUGAUGGUGCUUGCACUAUCACUUAGCGGCGGACGGGUGAGUAAUGCUUAGGAAUCUGCCUAUUAGUGGGGGACAACAUCUCGAAAGGGAUGCUAAUACCGCAUACGUCCUACGGGAGAAAGCAGGGGAUCACUUGUGACCUUGCGCUAAUAGAUGAGCCUAAGUCGGAUUAGCUAGUUGGUGGGGUAAAGGCCUACCAAGGCGACGAUCUGUAGCGGGUCUGAGAGGAUGAUCCGCCACACUGGGACUUAGACACGGCCCAGACUCCUACGGGAGGCAGCAGUGGGGAAUAUUGGACAAUGGGGGGAACCUUGAUCCAGCCAUGUCGCGUGUGUGAAGAAGGCCUUAUGGUUGUAAAGCACUUUAAGCGAGGAGGAGGCUCUUUUGGUUAAUACCCAAGAUGAGUGUACGUUACUCGCAGAAUAAGCACCGGCUAACUCUGUGCCAGCCGCCGCAGUAA
This 503-nucleotide ribosomal RNA is filed under the name uncultured bacterium. RNAcentral's name for it is "partial 16S ribosomal RNA". It matches the Rfam family "Bacterial small subunit ribosomal RNA", at positions 30 to 523 of the family's 1533-position model. The record is from RNAcentral.